AUAGAUGAAAAAAUCAAUACGAAUUAAAAAUGAACUUUUGAGAGAUAUUUUAGUCUCAAAGUGAAAAGAAGAGGUUCGUAAAAGGUGAUUCUGAAGUACUGAAUCAGGUUCUUGGUUUUGUUUGCUCUGAACACUUGACUGUUUGUUAUCCGAUAUCAGUAGUAGUAGUCUUAAGCAAAAGCAGCAUCAACAUGUCAAAUUUCUCUUCCUGGUUCUUCGCCCAAGUACUUGUACUGCUAGAUCACUCGCUCUUCAACGUCACUUCAAUUCUUCCUUCUGCGACACCCACAGAGGUUUGGGUGUUAGGAACAAAGGCAGCACGCAAUACGUUGUUAAGGGAUCACAGAAAGAAUUUCCGCGGGAGCUUCUUCAGGAGUUGAAAAUCGUCUGUCAGGAUAACAUAUCUCUUGAUUAUGAUGAAAGAUAUAUCCAUGGAAAACCACAAAACAGCUUUCACAAGGCUGUCAAUAUCCCAGAUGUGAUUGUUUAUCCAACAUGAGACAUGCUCUGAGCUGAAGCUUGUCUGAAAUAUAUGUUUACUUAUUCAUCUGAUCAUAGUUUCUUUUCUACAACUGCAGUGAUCUUGUGUUAUCCUUUUAAAUUUUAACUUCAUCACAAUUUGGUACUUGCAUUGAGAAAGAACUUGGAAGUUUCUACUGCAGUGUUUUUCCAAAUAAUAUAGAUUUGAAAGACUUCAAUUAUAUGUUGUUCUCUCAUUCCGUUAUAAUUUUCAAAACAGAACUAUUGAAAAUACUUGCUGCUGAGCUAUGUUGAAAAUGUGUUACUUGUGUUUCUCAAGUGGAGUUGUAAUAUCGUGACAAUUAUUUGAAUAUAGUAGCAGAAUGGUUAUGGAGAUUUGGUGGACAUCAGAGCAAUUGAACCUGGUGAUAUUUUGUUAGAUACCUUUAUUCUGAAUACCACUUUGAUAUAUCAUAUGCUCUAGUAGAAUGUUGCCGUGAUCCUAACAAUUUUUGCUCGUGGUAUUUAUUUCUAAUAAAAAGUAUUUUUUCCCCUCUAUAUUUGACCUGAAUACUGUUUGAAAACAGACAAGUCUGAUAUAAUGUGGUUGAUUUCUUUUUUAAAAUAAUUUUCUACAUGACAUUGGUCAAUCUGUAUAUCUGCAGAUCAGUAAAUUGGUUCAUUUCCGAUCUCUGAAUCCUGCAGAAUCGUAUAUUCGUAUUUACUUAUGCUUAGUGCUUUUGCUCCCAAAUGCUAUUAUGUCUAAUAUCUCAUUUUAUUGAGAAGAGAUUCCAUUCCAUGACAUCUGUUAUGUGCCUUGGAAUAUCCAAACUCUUAAUCAUGCUGGGUCGAAAGUGCUUAUGUGAAAUAUAUGACUUUCUGAUGUGUCAUAUUGUUGAUUUCAAAAUAUGCAUAUGUAUACCUUGCCUAUCAUUUUAGACUAUACAAUAUAUCAAAAUGACUUCUCAUAUUUUUUUUAGAGUAUCUCGAAUGGACAUGAACAAACAUGGGAGAGUAGGAGAGGUUUUUAAAAUAUUGUGGAUACAUUCUCAUGGCAGAAGUUAGAGCAUCCCCAUGUAUUUAUUUUCUUGCUUUGUACUCUUAUUUGCAGAUCUAAAGAGGAGGUCUCUAAGAUUGUCAAAUUAUGUAACAGUCAUAAGGCUUCAGUUCUUCUAACUCAACAACCAUUGUUUAGCAUGUUCUAGCUGAUUGUUUUACCUUAACAUUUUAUUAUAAAGCCAUUUGGAUCAGACCAAAUCUAUAUUCUUCAUAUAUCUCUUUUGGCCCUGCAUUUUUCAUCACUUUUUUUUUGUUGAUUUUUCUCCCUUUGAAAAAAAAAUCUUUAUUUCUGCUGUCCCUUUCAUACUUGAAUUGUUUUGCAUUUGGAAUUUAUAUCUCUUUUCAUCCUUAAAAAAAAUGUCCAUCUGUUUUCUUUGUCUAUCCUCAAACAAGGCUGUCUUCCUUCAUCAAAUACAUAUUUUUUUCCCUUUCAUUGUUUUUUCAAUUAUCAAUUUGUCUUCUAUAUCUUUGUUGCAACCAUAUAUCUAUUGUGAUAGCCCGGCAAUUUUUCUAAAGCAUAAUGGGUGUCAUAGGAACUGGUUUAGCCAAUCACAAUCAAAUUUAUAAUUCCUUGUUUUUAGCCAUCCAACUAUUCAUCAAGAUGGUCCUUCUGAUUUAGCUGUAGCUGGCCUUUGAGUAUUAACUUGCACAAUGUUUGUACUACAUUGAGUACAUUCAUCAUUUUCUUUUGGUUAGCUUCUACUAAAUCAUCUGCAAAUGGAUUAAACCUCAUCCUAAUAUCUUGAACCGUGUCAAUUAUGUUAUGCUACUAUAGUCCUGAAUCUCCUGAUGAAAAAGUAACAUAAACCUAUUUCAUUCCCCUGCCCCCCAAAAUUUUCUUGUUUCUUCUAAUAGUGUUGAGCUCUUCUUUUAAUAUUCAGUUAGACAUUAUUUGAACUUAGAUUAUAAAACCCAAAAAUCUACACCGUGAUCCUUACCUAACUAAUUAAAUUUUAAAUCAAGCAGUUAUUUGGCAUGUUAUUAGAGUGUCUUUUUGACCAAUAAUGUUAAUACUUAAUAAUAAAUGAUGAUUGUGUUCAUGUGAAACUUGUGGCUGCAUUUUACUUUUUAUUUAUGCUUUAUUUUUUUAAAAAUUGUAAUAGGUUCCUAUUGUACCAUAUGGCGGAGCUACAUCAAUUAAGGGUCACACCGUAUCCCCUCAUGGAGGGGUUUGCAUUGACAUGUCAUUAAUGAAAGUAUUUACAUGUUCUAUUACGAUAGUAUAAUAUAUGCAUAUAAUUGUUUCCAGUAUAUUAUGAUUAUGAAAUAUAUAUUUCAUUCAAAUGGAAUGUGGUGAAACUCAUGUAAGGCCUAUUUGGUCUCAUGUCUGCUCAAGGGCUGCUGAACUCAAAAUUUGAUAUGUUUGAGAAUAAAAUCAAGCACAGUAGACUUGUAGAAGUUUAAGAUGCCUUUGUUGGCUUGGAAUGGGUGUUGAAUCCAUAGUUUUCCAUUUUUGUGUUCCCCUUUUGAUCCUUAUUGUGUUUCUGUUAGAAAUCUUAUUCUUCCUUUUUCAUUCUCAACCUUCAUUCAAAAUUCUACCCCUCCUGUGAACAAAUAAGAUGUCAUUUGUUGGAAUGGAGCAUGUUUCUGAUGCUAAACUGUAAGCACUUACUCUACCAUUGUCCUUAAGGGAAGAACAUAUAAAAACGAAAACCCAAAGAUGACACGUUUCCUUCUGGGAAGUGCAUUUUCAUACCGGCCUGUGGAGUUGCCUCCAGUCUGCUAAUCAGGAAGCAAUUUUACACACAUGUAUUUUUUCCUUUUUGAAAUAAAUUUUAGGGCUUGUAUUGAAUUGAUCUGUGUGAUGUAUUCUUAAUUUGCUUAUGUUAAGGCAGAGUUGAGAGCUUACAGAGUUGAUAAGACUUCUCUCUUUGUGGCCUAAAUAUCUUCUCCUUGCUUUGUCAUAAUCUUUGUUAGAGAUGCAACGUAAAACCAUCUAUGUGUCUUCACCUAAUGGCUUAAACUUUUGGGAUUUUUGGUUCAUGACAAUCUUUAUUGUUACAUGUUUUCAAAUGCUGUCUUUUGAUGCCUCCUUUUACUUAAAAGUUAGGAUUUAUACUUGUAACCCAUGGAAUGAUAAUUGUAUUGCUGUGCUAAACAGUAACAUGCAUUGAAUAUUACCAUUGUAGUAUGCUAGUGGCUUUUCUAUGAAUACAUUAAGCAAUGCAUUAUUGUUUAAUUGUUACUGCAAAUUAUGAAAAUACUUUUAGUAUCAUCAUUAGGAUUACAAAAUUUUAAAGUCAUUCUGUUGCACAGAUUUCUUACUAUUUUCUGGAAUUGAAGUUGUAGUACAGAAAUAUGUUUUAGAACCAGCUACUGUACAUUUCUUGAUGAAUGAUGAUUAUAGCCGUAUCAUUAGAGUAAUCUUGUUUAUAUGUGCAUAUACCAUUAUGUAGACAAGGCACUUGCUCAGAUGUAUUUACACAUGCAGAAUACAGAAUACAGAUCAUGUGUGCAUAAUGGUACAGAUUGGACAUAAAAAAGUGAACUUUACUGUAGCUGUUAUACUUACAUUGUAUACUAGUGCAAUCUAUAGAGAGUGAAAGCAUUACAUGUUAAUGGCAUGGAUGUUGUUGUUGAGCCUGGCAUUGGAUGGAUGGAGCUUAACGAGUAUUUGGAACCUUAUGGCCUAUUUUUUCCACUUGAUCCAAGUUAGUUGGAUAUGACCUGGGAGUAUAUCUGAUAGUUGAAGGUUAAAAGAGGCUUAAAAUUCUGGAAGAAUGCACUGAUUUUAAGUUAAAUUUAUACUUGUUACAAGCAGGUCCUGGUGGUAGCAUUGGAGGCAUGUGUGCUACAUGUUGCUCUGGUUCGCCAGCUGUGAGGUAUGGCACUAUGCGUGAUAAUGUCAUCAGUCUCAAGGUGGUUCUUGCCAAUGGAGACAUUGUGAAGACUGCAUCACGUGCUAGGAAGAGUGCUGCAUGGUUUGUUUUAUUCCUUUCCCUUUAUCUAUUAAUUAAUUUCACUUAUAAUUUUCCCCCUUCUGUGUGCUUUGCAAGAGGUCAGGUUAGUAUAAUUAAAAUACAAAGGGAAAAAUAUUUGGUAAAUUCUAUCAACUACCAACAAUAGAAUAAAUUGAUUAAAUACCUGAGACACUUCUCUUCUUCAUUUAUCCUUCUUGGAUAUGAUGUUUGACAUCCUUAACUAUCCCUCCAUCUUUUAGGAUUUCCUUUAUAGUGUUUUUGGCUUUCAAUUUUUGGUAUUCAUCUCCAAUUUUUAUGCAUCAUUCACUCUCCUUUGCUGGGUUCAUAAAAUCAAUAAACUUUGUUUGAUGAACUCAAUCGAAAUCCCUUGGUUUUCAAAGCAUUUCCCUCUAACUCCAACUCCAACUCCAGCACCCACCCGAAUUAUAAAAAAUGUCAUUAGCAAAAAAAUCCACCAAGACACUUCAUCCUGAAUAUGCCUAGCAAGUUUGUUCAUUAGGAAUAAAAAAUCCUAUACAGGGUUUAAUGUUAAACCUGGAUGUAAACAUUUAUUACUGAUUCAACUCUUAGAAUUUGGGCUUAAAGCCUAACUCAACCCCACAAAAUCAGUUUGUAAGGUGAGACGUGUUCAAGUCUUAUAGGGACUACAUUGGUCAUAUCUCUAGUCAAUGUGGGAUCUCAACAUCAGCAUACAUAUCCUUUUUUGCUUAAAUGCAUGCAAUACAACUCCCUUGCAUUACAGUGCAAAAUACUUCAAAGAAUCCCUCUAGGGACUGCUAUGUAAUGACAAGCUACUGAUUUUUUUUUUCCUUUCUAGAAAAUAUAUAUUAUGAUUUCACAUGAAUGCAUGCAACACAACUCCCUUACAUUACAUUGCAAAAUACUUCAAAGAAUCCCUUUAGGGAUUGAUAUGUAAUGACAAGUGUUAACAGAUUGACAAAUGUAUCAAUUUUAUCACAAGUAAUAAAGAUUAAACUGAAGACCGAGUGUCGAGUUCACAAAAACUUUGUUUGUACUUGCGUUGGUAAAUACUCAAUUUGUAAACAAUAGAAGAAGUGGAAGAGGAAAAAAAUUGUAAGUGUGAAAUUUGAGGGUAAAAGGGCAAAAGAAAAAAGAUAACAAGAAAAUUAAACAAUAGCUUAAAUGCAAAAGAUGAGUUCAGAAUGCAAUUAUGUUGGGACCUAUGCCUAACUACCCUUGAUGCAAUAUUAAUGUUUUUUCUCGCUUUCCCAAUUUCCACCCACGUUUAUUAAUAUGUUCUCCCCUAUCCCUCACGAUGAAGAGCCUAAUUUAUGUAUUCUCUCUCCCACAUCCUUUUGCAAAGAUGGAAUCAUAAACAACAUUAAGUAUAAAGAUGUAUGCAGAGGCACAACAAAGCCACUCUAACAAGGAGCUGGAUGCAUCACCACUACUAGUUUGGUAAGUCUGAUCAGGGUUAUUUGAUUCUGGAUACUGAAGUUAGAUUCAAUUUUGUCACAAUUCAUGUUACUUGAUGAUGAUGGAUGAUCAAACAGAGUGAUAUCAUCAUCUCGUAUUACCUGUGUAUAUGGAAUUGGCAAUCAGAGUGAAAUUUUUCCUUAAAUUUUUAAAUGGUUCAAUCUUGGUUAUUUAAGUUUACGGAAAAUUUCAUAAAUUAUCUCGUAUUACCUGUGUAUAUGGAAUUGGCAAUACUUGUUAGCACAACAUAUUCUUAACUAUUGGGUAAAAUUUAUCUAGAACUUCAUUGA
Glycine soja is the source of this 6166-nucleotide long non-coding RNA. RefSeq lists it as uncharacterized. The record is from RefSeq and is a predicted model, not a curated record. NCBI's taxonomy places the organism in Eukaryota, Viridiplantae, Streptophyta, Magnoliopsida, Fabales, Fabaceae. The transcript is spliced from 5 exons.